This 492-nucleotide ribosomal RNA is filed under the name uncultured bacterium. RNAcentral's name for it is "partial 16S ribosomal RNA". It matches the Rfam family "Bacterial small subunit ribosomal RNA", at positions 29 to 507 of the family's 1533-position model. The record is from RNAcentral.
AGUGAACGCUGGCGGUAGGCCUAACACAUGCAAGCCGAACGGCAGCACAGUAAGAGCUUGCUCUUACGGGUGGCGAGUGGCGGACGGGUGAGGAAUACAUCGGAAUCUACUUUUUCGUGGGGGAUAACGUAGGGAAACUUACGCUAAUACCGCAUACGACCUACGGGUGAAAGCAGGGGAUCUUCGGACCUUGCGCGAUUGAAUGAGCCGAUGUCGGAUUAGCUAGUUGGCGGGGUAAAGGCCCACCAAGGCGACGAUCCGUAGCUGGUCUGAGAGGAUGAUCAGCCACACUGGAACUGAGACACGGUCCAGACUCCUACGGGAGGCAGCAGUGGGGAAUAUUGGACAAUGGGCGCAAGCCUGAUCCAGCCAUACCGCGUGGGUGAAGAAGGCCUUCGGGUUGUAAAGCCCUUUUGUUGGGAAAGAAAAGCAGCAGGUUAAUACCCCGCCGUUCUGACGGUACCCAAAGAAUAAGCACCGGCUAACUUCGUG